RNAcentral lists this ribosomal RNA (157 nucleotides) under Gammaproteobacteria bacterium. RNAcentral's name for it is "partial 23S ribosomal RNA". It matches the Rfam family "Bacterial large subunit ribosomal RNA", at positions 2777 to 2925 of the family's 2925-position model. Lineage: Bacteria; Pseudomonadati; Pseudomonadota; Gammaproteobacteria. The record is from RNAcentral.
GCAUCUAAGCGGGAAGCCUCCUUCGAGACGAGAUCUCCCUGAGGACUUGAUCCUCCUGAAGUGCCGUUGAAGACGACGACGUUGAUAGGCUGGGUGUGUAAGCGCUGUGAGGCGCUGAGCUAACCAGUACUAAUUGCACGUGAGGCUUGACCAUAUA